This 929-nucleotide long non-coding RNA is filed under the name Gadus morhua (Atlantic cod). Its description in RNAcentral is "lncRNA (ENSGMOG00000027967.1)". Lineage: Eukaryota; Metazoa; Chordata; Actinopteri; Gadiformes; Gadidae. The record is from RNAcentral.
UAUAGAUAGGACUGCUAAUCUUACAAGCAUUCUCAAGAUCGAUUGUCGGCAGUAGUUCUAUUCAUUCUAUCGCUGUAACUUUUCUCUCGUGUUGCUAUGGACAAGUUGUUUGACCUGGAUCUCCGUGACCCCCGCACAGAAGGAAGACACCUUGCCGUUGGGUUGAUGCAUGACCAAUUCCUUGCAGAAGCCAUGGUAACAACCUUUUGUACAUUAACUGAACUUGAACUUGUACAUGAAAUGAAUGUUUCAGUACCUCAGAAACUCCGUCUAACAAGAUGUUGGACUUAAACACACAGGAGGCUGCGGAGAAUGUCAAUCGGGCAAGAUCUGGAGGGGAUUCACCACGGAGCUCAACCAAACGGAGCGGACGCGGCAAGGCCAGAGGGAGACGUGGAGGCCGUGCGGGCCAUACAGGCCGUGCAGACCGAUGGAGUGGCCUAACUACAGGCAUGGACACUGAGGUGUUGGCACUUCCUUCAGAGGAUUCCUUGCCCUUACCCAGAGCACAGCAAAAUCCUCAAGAGAUGUUUGAACAAAACAUGGAGAGGCUUUCUGCCCUACUGGAUUCAAGCCCCUGUCCUGCUGAGCCUGAGAGAAGCGCAGCAUCAUCGUGGUCUGUUAGGCAGCAGAAAGCCUCUGACCGUUGGGAGGAAGCACGGCCGUACCACCUCAGAUGCCUUUUGGAAUCUGAGGCUGUUGGCAAGCCAUUGUGUUGCUUCUGCCACAAGCCGGCUGUUAUAAGGUGCAGAGAGUGCCUUCCGGAGCAGUGGUUUUGUGGGGCCUGCGACAUGCAUAACCACAGCAAACGGCCACUCCACAACAGGGACAGCGUGGUGGAUGGCUUCUUUAAAGCCAUUCCCCCAUCCACAUGUAUCUCAAGAGGAGAGACUGGAAUAUAUGCCACACAUGAGCAAGGUAAGGUCUGA